AUUGAACGCUGGCGGCAGGCUUAACACAUGCAAGUCGAGCGGAGUGAUGGUGCUUGCACUAUCACUUAGCGGCGGACGGGUGAGUAAUGCUUAGGAAUCUGCCUAUUAGUGGGGGACAACAUCUCGAAAGGGAUGCUAAUACCGCAUACGUCCUACGGGAGAAAGCAGGGGAUCACUUGUGACCUUGCGCUAAUAGAUGAGCCUAAGUCGGAUUAGCUAGUUGGUGGGGUAAAGGCCUACCAAGGCGACGAUCUGUAGCGGGUCUGAGAGGAUGAUCCGCCACACGGGGACUGGGAAACGGACCAGACUCCUACGGGAGGUCGCAGUGGGGAAUAUUGGACAAUGGGGGGAACCCUGAUCCAGCCAUGCCGCGUGUGUGAAGAAGGCCUUAUGGUUGUAAAGCACUUUAAGCGAGGAGGAGGCUCUUUUGGUUAAUACCCAAGAUGAGUGGACGUUACUCGCAGAAUAAGCACCGGCUAACUCUGUGCCAGCCGCCGCCGUAA
This 503-nucleotide ribosomal RNA is filed under the name uncultured bacterium. RNAcentral's name for it is "partial 16S ribosomal RNA". It matches the Rfam family "Bacterial small subunit ribosomal RNA", at positions 30 to 523 of the family's 1533-position model. The record is from RNAcentral.